This 305-nucleotide ribosomal RNA is filed under the name uncultured bacterium. RNAcentral describes it as "bacterial SSU rRNA". It matches the Rfam family "Bacterial small subunit ribosomal RNA", at positions 337 to 639 of the family's 1533-position model. The record is from RNAcentral.
UCCUACGGGGGGCAGCAGUGAGGAAUAUUGGACAAUGGGCUUACGCCUGAACCAGCCAAGUCGCGUGAGGGAAGACUGCCCUAUGGGUUGUAAACCUCUUUUGUCAGGGAGCAACGCCGGCUACGUGUAGCCGGACUGAGAGUACCUGAAGAAAAAGCAUCGGCUAACUCCGUGCCAGCAGCCGCGGUAAUACGGAGGAUGCGAGCGUUAUCCGGAUUUAUUGGGUUUAAAGGGUGCGUAGGCGGAAUGCCAAGUCAGCGGUAAAAUCGCGGGGCUCAACCUAGCUCCGCCGUUGAAACUGGCGU